This 253-nucleotide ribosomal RNA is filed under the name uncultured bacterium. RNAcentral's name for it is "partial 16S ribosomal RNA". It matches the Rfam family "Bacterial small subunit ribosomal RNA", at positions 524 to 776 of the family's 1533-position model. The record is from RNAcentral.
UACGUAGGUGGCGAGCGUUGUCCGGAAUUACUGGGUGUAAAGGGAGCGCAGGCGGGGAAUUAAGUUGGAUGUGAAAUACCCAGGCUCAACCUGGGGGCUGCAUCCAAAACUGGUUCUCUUGAGUGGAGUAGAGGUAGGCGGAAUUCCUAGUGUAGCGGUGAAAUGCGUAGAUAUUAGGAGGAACACCAGUGGCGAAGGCGGCCUACUGGGCUUUUACUGACGCUGAGGCUCGAAAGCGUGGGGAGCAAACAGG